GCAAGUCGAGCGCGAACGUGGCUUCGGCCACUAGUAGAGCGGCACAAGGGUGAGUAACACAUGGACAACUUGCCCUCGAGACUGGAAUAACGGCGGGAAACUGCCGCUAAUGCCGGAUGGCCCUGCGACACGGCAUCGUGUUGUAGGUAAAGGUGGGGAUCCUUCGGGACCUGCCACUCGGGGAGAGGUUCAUGCACUAUCAGCUUGUUGGUGAGGUAACGGCUCACCAAGGCGACGACGGUUAGGCGACCUGAGAGGGUGACC
RNAcentral lists this ribosomal RNA (264 nucleotides) under uncultured bacterium. RNAcentral's name for it is "partial 16S ribosomal RNA". It matches the Rfam family "Bacterial small subunit ribosomal RNA", at positions 57 to 305 of the family's 1533-position model. The record is from RNAcentral.